RNAcentral lists this ribosomal RNA (447 nucleotides) under uncultured bacterium. Its description in RNAcentral is "bacterial SSU rRNA". It matches the Rfam family "Bacterial small subunit ribosomal RNA", at positions 329 to 792 of the family's 1533-position model. The record is from RNAcentral.
CUCCAGACUCCUACGGGAGGCAGCAGUGGGGGAUAUUGCACAAUGGGGGGAACCCUGAUGCAGCGACGCCGCGUGGGUGAAGGAGUGCUUCGGCAUGUAAAGCCCUAUCGGCAGGGAAGAAGCAAGACGGUACCUGACUAAGAAGCCCCGGCUAACUACGUGCCAGCAGCCGCGGUAAUACGUAGGGGGCAAGCGUUAUCCGGAUUCACUGGGUGUAAAGGGAGCGUAGACGGCCAUGCAAGCCUGGAGUGAAAGCCCGGGGCCCAACCCCGGGACUGCUCUGGGAACUGUGCGGCUGGAGUGCGGGAGGGGCAGGCGGAAUUCCUGGUGUAGCGGUGAAAUGCGUAGAUAUCAGGAGGAACACCGGCGGCGAAGGCGGCCUGCUGGACCGUAACUGACGUUGAGGCUCGAAAGCGUGGGGAGCAAACAGGAUUAGAUACCCCGGUA